Molecule: long non-coding RNA, 230 nt
Filed under: Ananas comosus (pineapple)
Lineage: Eukaryota; Viridiplantae; Streptophyta; Magnoliopsida; Poales; Bromeliaceae
Description: long non-coding RNA (ACOM_LNC043811)
Source: RNAcentral
CGACUCCACGGACUCGACCUCUCUUAACCUCCUAUGAAUCUCGCGCAAUUCUCCGGGUUGUCCACACCCUCACGUUCGAAUCCACGAACGCCACGUUCCGAAUCUACGAAACGCCUCCACUCCGAAUCCACAAAACGCCUCCACUCCGAAUCCACGAAACUCACGAUCCGAAUCCACGAAUCGCCGUCAAUCACGCCGAAUCCAUGACGCCAUCAUAAAGAACAUCAUGU